Non-coding RNA from Rhodocollybia butyracea, 89 nucleotides. The record is from the annotation of a GenBank genome assembly. Lineage: Eukaryota; Fungi; Basidiomycota; Agaricomycetes; Agaricales; Omphalotaceae.
GCAUUAAUGGGGUAGUGGUAACCUGGGUCGUUGCCAUAAGGAUGGAACUUCCUCUCGACCCGCCGGGGGUUCGAUUCCCUCUUAAUGCA